AUGGACCCUUCCAUCCCUUAUUCCUGUGGCUAUGCAUUGGAGUUGGACGACGUAGGUCCCAGUGAAGAAGUUGACGAGGAGGGCUUCAUGGUCAAGGAGGCCAAAGCUUUCAAGAAGGUAUUCUGGCAGGAUCAUCGGACACCAUUGUUCAAGGAUGUUAGUCUCGUGGAAGAAGCGGUUGUAGACGGUGGCAAAGGUAUAUUUCUUCGAGUUAGGCCAACUUCUCACCGUGACUUGGAGCACGACAAGAAUGGGAUUUCUCCCAGGUCUAAGUUUUAA
Molecule: ribosomal RNA, 279 nt
Filed under: Triticum aestivum (bread wheat)
Lineage: Eukaryota; Viridiplantae; Streptophyta; Magnoliopsida; Poales; Poaceae
Description: partial small subunit ribosomal RNA
Source: RNAcentral